Molecule: transfer RNA, 74 nt
Filed under: Podarcis lilfordi (Lilford's wall lizard)
Lineage: Eukaryota; Metazoa; Chordata; Lepidosauria; Squamata; Lacertidae
Rfam family: tRNA
About the family: Transfer RNA (tRNA) molecules are approximately 80 nucleotides in length. Their secondary structure includes four short double-helical elements and three loops (D, anti-codon, and T loops).
Source: Rfam by way of RNAcentral
ACUCCAGUGGCACAAUGGGUCGGUGCAUCUGGCUCUUAACCAGAAGGUUAGUGGUUCAAGCCCACCCAGGGACG